CCUACGGGAGGCAGCAGUGAGGAAUAUUGGUCAAUGGCCGGAAGGCUGAACCAGCCAAGUCGCGUGAGGGACGACUGCCCUAUGGGUUGUAAACCUCUUUUAUAAGGGCAGAAUAAAUGCUACGUGUAGCCUGAUGCCUGUACCUUAUGAAUAAGCAUCGGCUAACUCCGUGCCAGCAGCCGCGGUAAUACGGAGGAUGCGAGCGUUAUCCGGAUUUAUUGGUUUUAAAGGGUGCGUAGGCGGUUUUUUAAGUUAGUGGUUAAACGUCGGGGCUUCACCUUGAUUUGCCAUUAAUACUGUAAGACUCGAGUUCAGACUAGGUAGGCGGAAUAAGUUAAGUAGCGGGGAAAUGCUUAGAUAUAACUUAGAACUCCGAUAGCGAAGGCAGCUUACCAGACUGCGACUGACGCUGAAGCACGAGAGCGUGGGUAGCGAACAGGAUUAGAUACCCCAGUAGUC
Molecule: ribosomal RNA, 459 nt
Filed under: uncultured bacterium
Lineage: Bacteria
Description: partial 16S ribosomal RNA
Rfam family: Bacterial small subunit ribosomal RNA
Source: RNAcentral